GGUUCGAUCCUGGCUCAGAUUGAACGCUGGCGGGAUGCUUUACACAUGCAAGUCGAACGGCAGCACGGACUUCAGUCUGAUGGCGAGUGGCGAACGGGUGAGUAAUGUAUCGGAACGUGCCUAGUAGCGGGGGAUAACUACGCGAAAGCGUAGCUAGCCAAUCACAUACGCCCUUCGAGAGGAAAAGCGGGGGACCUUCGGGCCUCACUAUUAGGCAACCGAUAUCGGAUUAGCUAGUUGGUGGGGUAACGGCUCACCAAGGCGACGAUCCGUAGCUGGUUUUGAAAGGACGACCAGCCACACUGGGACUGAAGUUUGGCCAGACUCCUACGGGAGGCAGCAGUGGGGAAUUUUGGACAAUGGAAACCUGAUCCAGCCAUCCCGCGUGUGCGAUGAAGGCCUUCGGGUUGUAGAGCACUUUUGGCAGGAAAACGGCACGGGAUAAUACCCCGUGCAACUGACGACACCUGCAGAACCAGCACCGGCUAACUACGUGCCAGCAACCGCCAGUAAUACGUAGGGUGCAAGCGUUAAUCGGAAUUACUGGGCGUAAAGCGUGCGCAGGCGGUUCGGAAAGAAAGAUGUGAAAUCCCAGAGAAUAACUUUACGAACUUCCAUUUUAACUACCGAGCUAGAGUGUGUCAGGGAGGUGGAAUUCCGCGUGUAGUAAUGCGUAGAUAUGCGGAGGAACACCGAUGGCGAAGGCGGCCUCCUGGAUAACACUGACGCUCAUGCACGAAAGCGUGAGGCAAACAGGAUUAGAUACCCUGGUGAUCCACGCCUAAAACGAUAUCAACCCCAGCUGUUGGGGCCUGGACUGUGGUAGCGCAGCUAACGCGUGAAGUUGACCGCCUGGGGGAGUACGGUCAUAGUUAAAACUCAAGGAAUUGACGGGGACCCGCACAAGCGGUGGAUGAUGUGGAUUAAUUCGAUGCAACGCGAAAAACCUUACCUACCCUUGACAUGUCUGGAAUCCCGAAGAGAUUUGGGAGUGCUCGCAAGAGAACCGGAACACAGGUGCUGCAUGGCUGUCGUCAUCGUGUCGUGAGAUGUUGGGUUAAGUCCGCAACGAGCGCAAGCCCUUGUCAUUAGUUGCUACGAAAGGGCACUCUAAUGAGACUGCCGGUGACAAACCGGAGAAGGUGGGGAUGACGUCAAGUCCUCAUGGCCCUUAUGGGUAGGGCUUCACACGUCAUACAAUGGUCGGGACAGAGGGUCGCCAACCCGCGAAGAGGCCAAUCCCAGAAACCCGAUCCGUAGUCCGGAUCGCAGUCUGCAACUCGACUGCGUGAAGUCGGAAUCGCUAGUAAUCGCGGAUCAGCAUGUCGCGGUGAAUACGUUCCCGGGUCUUGUACACACCGCCCGUCACACCAUGGGAGUGGGUUUUACCGAAGUAGUUAGCCUAACCGUAAGGAGGGCGAUUACCACGGUAGGAUUCAUGACUGGGGUGAAAGUCGUAACAGGUAG
Molecule: ribosomal RNA, 1467 nt
Filed under: uncultured Bordetella sp.
Lineage: Bacteria; Pseudomonadati; Pseudomonadota; Betaproteobacteria; Burkholderiales; Alcaligenaceae
Description: partial 16S-23S ribosomal RNA intergenic spacer
Rfam family: Bacterial small subunit ribosomal RNA
Source: RNAcentral